Molecule: ribosomal RNA, 205 nt
Filed under: uncultured bacterium
Lineage: Bacteria
Description: partial 16S ribosomal RNA
Rfam family: Bacterial small subunit ribosomal RNA
Source: RNAcentral
UACGUAGGCGGUUUAUUAAGUCAGAUGUGAAAGCCCCGGGCUUAACCUGGGAACUGCAUUUGAUACUGGUAAACUAGAGUAUGGUAGAGGGGUAGAAUUCCUAGUGUAGCGGUGAAAUGCGUAGAUAUUAGGAGGAAUACCAGUGGCGAAGGCGGCCCCCUGGACCAAUACUGACGCUGAGGUACGAAAGCGUGGGUAGCGAACA